RNAcentral lists this ribosomal RNA (546 nucleotides) under uncultured bacterium. RNAcentral describes it as "partial 16S ribosomal RNA". It matches the Rfam family "Bacterial small subunit ribosomal RNA", at positions 355 to 891 of the family's 1533-position model. The record is from RNAcentral.
UGGGGAAUCUUCCGCAAUGGACGAAAGUCUGACGGAGCAACGCCGCGUGUAUGAUGAAGGUCUUCGGAUUGUAAAGUACUGUCAUUGGGGAAGAACGGUUUUCUUGAAAAGAUUGAGAAGACAUGACGGUACCCAAGGAGGAAGCCCCGGCUAACUACGUGCCAGCAGCCGCGGUAAUACGUAGGGGGCAAGCGUUGUCCGGAAUUAUUGGGCGUAAAGGGCGCGUAGGCGGGCUUUUAAGUCCGGUGUGAAAGAUCAGGGCUCAACCCUGAGAGUGCAUCGGAAACUGGAGGCCUUGAGGACAGGAGAGGAAAGUGGAAUUCCACGUGUAGCGGUGAAAUGCGUAGAUAUGUGGAGGAACACCAGUGGCGAAGGCGACUUUCUGGACUGUAACUGACGCUGAGGCGCGAAAGCGUGGGGAGCAAACAGGAUUAGAUACCCUGGUAGUCCACGCCGUAAACGAUGAGUGCUAGGUGUAGAGGGUAUCGACCCCUUCUGUGCCGCAGUUAACACAAUAAGCACUCCGCCUGGGGAGUACGGCCGCAA